RNAcentral lists this long non-coding RNA (213 nucleotides) under Elaeis guineensis (African oil palm). RNAcentral describes it as "long non-coding RNA (EGUI_LNC074540)". The record is from RNAcentral. Lineage: Eukaryota; Viridiplantae; Streptophyta; Magnoliopsida; Arecales; Arecaceae.
CUAUAAAAGAGAGGUAAGUGAGUAGCACCAGGAAGGACAUUUCUUGGCUGGGACUCUACCACAUUAAAUAUUUGAUUAGCUAUUCACCAACUCCUCUCUGACUUAAACAUCAGAGGGUCCCCAUCGGAUAUAAUUUCGAUCUGUGAGGACUUGAUUUUGCAGGUGCUCUUCACCGACGACAGCGAAAGAGAGUUGGCCGUAACAGAUUGGCAC